AUUGAACGCUGGCGGCAUGCUUUACACAUGCAAGUCGAGCGGCAGCGCGGGGCAACCUGGCGGCGAGUGGCGAACGGGUGAGUAAUAUAUCGGAACGUACCCAGAAGUGGGGGAUAACGUAGCGAAAGUUACGCUAAUACCGCAUACGAUCUACGGAUGAAAGUGGGGGAUCGCAAGACCUCAUGCUUUUGGAGCGGCCGAUAUCUGAUUAGCUAGUUGGUAGGGUAAAGGCCUACCAAGGCGACGAUCAGUAGCUGGUCUGAGAGGGCGACCAGCCACACUGGGACUGAGACACGGCCCAGACUCCUACGGGAGGCAGCAGUGGGGAAUUUUGGACAAUGGGCGCAAGCCUGAUCCAGCAAUGCCGCGUGAGUGAAGAAGGCCUUCGGGUUGUAAAGCUCUUUUGUCAGGGAAGAAACGGCCGAGGCUAAUACCUUUGGCUAAUGACGGUACCUGAAGAAUAAGCACCGGCUAACUACGUG
Molecule: ribosomal RNA, 482 nt
Filed under: uncultured bacterium
Lineage: Bacteria
Description: partial 16S ribosomal RNA
Rfam family: Bacterial small subunit ribosomal RNA
Source: RNAcentral